This is a non-coding RNA of Gasterosteus aculeatus aculeatus (three-spined stickleback), 2118 nucleotides long. Lineage: Eukaryota; Metazoa; Chordata; Actinopteri; Perciformes; Gasterosteidae. The record is from RefSeq and is a predicted model, not a curated record.
UCCGUGCAGCUCUCUUUUCCAUCCGUGCCGCUGCUCCUCAUUUUCUCAAUGGUCCUUGCGUCCUCCCGAGGCCUUGUCACUUUCCUCUGCUGGAUCGGCGUCUCCUUCAUCUUGCUUCAACCUCAAACUUUCUGCGUCACUCCUGCGUGUCAUCUUAUCUGCCCGCGCUGUCCUCUGCUCCGCUCGUCUAUCCGUCACUUUCCCAGGGGUCGGAGGGGGAGACACGGGGGGGAUCUGAGGAAAAGAAGGGAUGCUGGCUGGAGUGAAUCCCAGCAGACACGUGGACAUGCAGACUCCACACAGAAAGGCCUCCGGGUGGAGACUAACUCAGGAUCUUCUUGCUGUGAGGCGACAGUGCUGACCAUCACAACACCGUGCCGCCUCUCUGUGGUAUUCAAUAUUGCUCAUUUGAAUUUUCAAGGUCCCGUCCAGGUACCAGUGAAGAGCAGCCAGAUCCAGGAAGCCACGACGGAGCGAAGUCUCUGUAGGAAUGUUGGCGCAGCAGUCACACACCUCUGGAUGACGGGCAGUCAUUUCAUUGGCGUUUGGUCCAGCAGGUCUGGGCCGGGUGGUGUCCAUCACACGGACCGCUCCUCACUAUUAAAUUCCAACCCAGUGCCUCCUUCUCUGAAGGCAAUGAGAGCGUUCUCUCAUAUGCCCAAACGCUCCAGUAAAGACAAAAAUCUACUACAAACCACACAUACAAAACUGUAGCCAAAUUAAUUGAAGCUACUUGCCGCCAUGAACUUGUCUUGGGGAGAAGGCUGCGGUUGUAACUUUGAAGCCCGUCGAGACUCGCGCGCAGAAAGGGACGAGGACACGCUGAGCGGAGCACGCUCCAGGAGUAACCACAGCGCUCCUCAAUUCAUCAGUUUGGUUUGAAAAAUUGCGUGAGACAGACAAAUGGUGCAACUUUUAAUGACACAAGUUGUUAAAGUACUGGUUAAAGCACUCUUUGGGUCACAACCCUCCCCCAGCGCGCUGCAUCUGGCAGAUCAGAUUGAUCCAUCUCUAAAUUAGCACAUUCAUACUCCCAACGAUACCCUUUUCACAUUGAUAAUCCCUGCAGCUUUUCCUCUUCACACACAGCAAUGAGUUUCUGCAAAGACAAUUGGUACAACAAUUGUUGUUUUUAUCGUCAUUCAUAAUCUUGUUCUGGGGUGCAAUGAAAACCGCAAACUCUUUCAGUUAUAAAGGUAUGAAGAAGAUUAUACUGCUUGCCUUUUCUCUUCCCUGAGAGUGUAUUCUUUUCUGAAUCAACAAUGUGGAACCAAAAAGGUGGCAAUUUUAAGAUUUGGAAGUUGUCAAGGUUGUAUCUACAUCUUCUGACAACCUGCGCAAUUGUGCUUAAAGAUUGGUGAUUUCCUCUUUUCACUGCAUAGUGAAUUUAAACCACACUCACUCUAACUCCACCCUGUAAUCCACAUCUAUUCCUUACACCUGUCAGCUCAACACUGCUCUGAGCCAUUUGAGACACAAUGCAAAAUUAAAGGGAAUGAAAGUACAGCAAACAUUUCUGCUCAAUCAUAAAAAUAUGUCUAGAAGCAUUGAAGAAAUACUGUAGUUUUAUGGUGAAGGUAGUCAAGCGUUUCCCUCGGUCCUUGCUGUGGAGUCUGCAAACACCAACGCUGCACAGAGCAGUGAGGCUUAGUUACGUGCUUGGAAAAGCACAGGAACUGGUGGAUUGGACGAAGGUAAUUAGGUGAAUAAUGACUGCAGGGGAUCGGGGAAUGGAAAUAGGAUACAGCUCACAAGUUUAUUAUAAAGUAAAUUCCCACUGUUUAUCGAGGUGUGGGGGGUGUGUAUUGUUGGAUGAGAUUUAGAGUGAUAUGAACCAACUGUUUUGUAUCCACCAUGAUUUCAGAGCCCCUUCCUCUUCUUUUAACAGCCGUCUCUGUCUUACAUCAUAUUGGCCUCCAUGAAGCCCUACUGUAAGUCUUAUACACUAUGUUCAGCCUAACUGGAACUAUACUUCCUUUGUUUUGUUUUUUAGCAAACCAACUCUUAAAAGUGCUUGGGAUUGCUCCUGUGGGGGAAAUGACCGUAACUUUUCAUGCCUUGUCCAAUCGGUCAGAAUGAUAUCUAAAAUCCUCUCUGCAUAAACUUAACAUUUUUUUU